GCAUGCGCAUAUUUUCAUUCGAGAGAGAAGGUUGCAUGAGAAGGCCUUGUGCAUGAGAUUGGAAGUUCAAAAAUUUUUGAGAGAAAAGAAAAGAAAGAAAGUGGGCGCAGGGUUUUCUAUGAGUAACCUAGGAUUUCUGCCUAGGGUUUGGAAAGUGAGAAGGUGAGCUACGAGUGUCGUGAGCCGACCAAACUUCAGAGAGAGCUUCAUCAACCUCUCAAGUAUCUCUGUUG
RNAcentral lists this long non-coding RNA (233 nucleotides) under Elaeis guineensis (African oil palm). RNAcentral describes it as "long non-coding RNA (EGUI_LNC075237)". The record is from RNAcentral. Lineage: Eukaryota; Viridiplantae; Streptophyta; Magnoliopsida; Arecales; Arecaceae.